CUUAGCCUACCUUGGGGGCCAUUUUGUAUAAUGAAAAGAAUAUUUCAUGCUUUUAACUCAUCUUUAGGUCCAAGGAAGAAAAAGGAAAGAAAGGAAAAGUGUCAUCACCCCCCUCUGUCAACUCAUGAAACUCUUAUGAAGAAGAUGCUAUCCUGCAUGUCUGACAUGAGUCUGCAUAGCCAUUGUACUACAACCACUGCUGUGCCACUACUAGAAGUUGCAGAGCACUUUAACCAGCAGACAGGUGGUCUUGGAGCAGUGGCUAAAACAGAUAAGCCUUCGUUAUCCAUUACUGUGGGAGAGCCACCACUGUCUGCUGGUGUGGGAGUGCCAACGUCAUCCAUUGCUGUGGCAGAGGCAACGUCAUCCACUGCUGUGGGAGAGUCAUCGUCAUCAACUGCUGUGGGAGAGUCAUCGUCAUCAACUGCUGUGGGAGAGUCAUCGUCAUCAACUGCUGUGGGAGAGCCAUCGUCAUCAACUGCUGUGGGAAAGCCAUCGUCAUCAACUACUGUGGGGGGGUCAUCGUCAUCCACUGCUGUUGUAGAGUCAUUGUCAUCCACUGCUGUUGUAGAGUCAUUGUCAUCCACUGGUACUAGCUCUGGAAACAUGAAUGGGUAUUAAAAGGCUUUUAACCAUGGAAGUGUCAUAAUUUGGAAGCGAAAUUUGAUGAGAACAUUGAUUUAGUGAUUUGAGAUUACUUAUUGUUCAAAAACCCUGUGGGUCUACUCUGAAAAAAAAAAUACUGAAUACCUGUAUACGAAAUAGGAUUUUGAAUAUUGUAGUUUGUCUGCAAUCACCAUGCUCUUGAUUACUGCCUAACUCACUUUUAUUAUUAACGAUAACUGUCUCUCUCAAGAAACUUUGCUGUUCCCUAUAUUAUCCGUGACAUUGCUUAGGUUAUCGGCUGUAACAUCCUAUCCAACUCUCCUGGCUGAUUUUCUGUAACCGGAGUGUUCAUAUACUUUACCAGUGGGUCCUUGUCUUCCUGUUUUUAAGAAUGAGUCCAACUGGUUAAUGUAUCAACUGUAUCAAGUUGGUUCCAUGUACCAUCAUCAAUCAGUGAGAGAUGGGGGAUGGGGACAUUUUAUCAUCACCCUUUCUGUUCAACGCACACAUUUAGGCCUAAUUCUUACUUCAAGCGGAAUUAACCUGAAAAACAGACUGAAAUGCUGAAAUCAACACAUUUGAUUGGUUUUUGUAUGUACGCCUACACCACUUCAAUCCAGACACAUUUUCUUACUCUCUACAAGUUUCAACUGUUCCAGUCCAGGUUUCAGAAACUUAAUUGUACAGGCUGAGUCAUUUGUGUCUGGAGAGGGUGGUGGCUCAACUUAACCCAAUUUUUAUGAUGGUGUGUGAUAUCUUAAACAUAUACAAAUAGAUAAUACCUUCAUAUUGCUUUGACAGGAAAAAAUGUAAACCUAUUUCCAUCUGUUUUUCUGAAGAGGACUCUUGGGGCGUCCCAGCUUGGUUCCACAGUCAAAUCAUCACCGAUCUCAGGAAGUGACAGGAGCCGGGAAAAAUCAAUAUUUGCCGAUCUGGAGUUUUUGCAAUCAUUAGGAACAGGUUCACAUGCAAAUGUUGUUUAUAUUAUUAAUAAUCGUAUUUGACAAAAAGCUAGCACUCUUUGUUUAUUGGUCUCACUUUUUGAGAAGGAAAUUUAAAGGAAAAUUAAAUUAUGAUAAACUGGCAUAAAGGGAACCAUAGCACAUCAUAAAUCUGGGACAAUUAUCAUCUUCUAGUCAAAAAGAAACUUAAUUGAAUAUGGAUCCUACUCCAUAUACGUAGAGAAAUUAGGCCUGCUUAUUUCCCCCUUUUACUCCAAUUUAUACUUUUGAACAAUAGCCCAAGAAACAUGAUAUUUAACAUCAACUACGACGCUGUAUGAUACAGAUAAAAUAGCAAAGUGCUCACAAACCUAAAGUUCUCACCUUUUUCGACAGUGUGGCAUUAAGCAUCCCCUGGAGCAGCCAAAUAGGCAUAGACAAAUAGAUGCUUAUUUUGCAUGCCCUGCAUUAAUGUUUUGGCAUGUGCCUCGGGGCACGCUGGACAUCUGGGAAGCAUUGUCUUGGUCACCAAAGUGUGGUUUGCGGAGGUCAAUAUGUGACCUUUCUAAAGAAAAUAAGUGCCUGUUGUCUGUUUUGAAUAGGCUGUGCAGUAGUCAUAAUAAAUUUGCAUUGAACUUGUAGUUUCUUUUCAAUUCC
This 2204-nucleotide long non-coding RNA is filed under the name Acanthaster planci (crown-of-thorns starfish). RNAcentral's name for it is "uncharacterized LOC110989472". The record is from RNAcentral. Lineage: Eukaryota; Metazoa; Echinodermata; Asteroidea; Valvatida; Acanthasteridae.